GAGGAUGUAGCUCAGUGGUAGGGCGCAUGCUAAGCAUGCAUGAGGUCCUGGGUUCAAUCCCCAGUACCCCCA
Molecule: transfer RNA, 72 nt
Filed under: Camelus bactrianus (Bactrian camel)
Lineage: Eukaryota; Metazoa; Chordata; Mammalia; Artiodactyla; Camelidae
Also listed under: 2 other names
Rfam family: tRNA
About the family: Transfer RNA (tRNA) molecules are approximately 80 nucleotides in length. Their secondary structure includes four short double-helical elements and three loops (D, anti-codon, and T loops).
Source: Rfam by way of RNAcentral